UGGCUAAGUGUCAUAAUAGAAAGUAAGAAUUUGUAUUGGCCGAAUAGAGACUAGAAACAAAUAUGCUACAAAAUAACAACAUAGUAUAUAUGCAUGCUAAUGUGAAUUUCCACUAACUCGGUAGAUUUUAAAGGCUAUAGCAACUACCUGCGCCAGUGUGGAAUCGAA
This is a long non-coding RNA of Juglans microcarpa x Juglans regia, 168 nucleotides long. RefSeq lists it as uncharacterized. The transcript has 4 exons. The record is from RefSeq and is a predicted model, not a curated record. Lineage: Eukaryota; Viridiplantae; Streptophyta; Magnoliopsida; Fagales; Juglandaceae.